Aethalodelphis obliquidens (Pacific white-sided dolphin) is the source of this 1223-nucleotide long non-coding RNA. RefSeq lists it as uncharacterized. The record is from RefSeq and is a predicted model, not a curated record. Lineage: Eukaryota; Metazoa; Chordata; Mammalia; Artiodactyla; Delphinidae. The transcript is spliced from 3 exons.
UGCAUCUGUGGAAUACAUGAAUAGACAACGAAUCAUCCCAAAUUGAGGAGCUGGUACCUGAGGAGUUGUAUACCUCCGGGAAGAUAUGUGCUCCAGACCCGUAAAUAUGCAGUUCACAGAGCCCACCACCAGAGGACAAUAAUGAAAGACAGAAACACACAGAGACAAUUCCAUGUGACAACAGUGAAAGAGACCAGAGUGAUGCAGCUGCAAAUCAAGAAACUGCCAACACCAGUGAUUGAUGGCCACCACCAGAAUCUGGUUAAGACAAAGAAGGAUCCUCCCCUUGAGGCGUCAGAAAGAACAUGGCCCUCUCAACACUUUGAGUUUGAACUUCUGGCCUCUAGAGCUGUGAUAAAAUAAAUUUCUGUUCUUUUAAGCUAACAAGUUUGUGGUAUCUUGUUAUGGUAGCCCUAGAGAUGACAGUAUUUGAUUCCUGAGCUGGCAACUGUAUUUUGACUAUGUAAUGACUAUUCCAAGAUAAUCAACAGACACAAAGAUAAAGGCAAAACUGAGACUAAGCCCAGUUCUUUUUAUUCCCAGAAUAAUAAAUGAUUUUUUAAUUAAUUUAGAUCUCUUUGUCUAACCCCUCUGCUUUUCAGAAGAGUAUGUGGGACCAAUCAAGUAUUCAUAUGUUAUACUUUCAUUUUAAUUCAUCUCAAAUUAUUUCUAAUUCCCCUUAUGAGUUCUUACUUGACCCAUGAAUUAUUUAGGAAUACAUUCUUUAAUUUCCAUUUGUGAUUUUCAACAAAUUUCUUUCUGUUAACGAUUUCUUAUUGCAUUCUGUUGUCAUCUGAGAGCACUCUCUGUAUUGUUUAUGUCCUUUAAAAUGUACUGAAAUUUGUUUUAUGGCCUAGCAUAUAGUAUAUCCAUGUGCAUUUGAAAAGAAUGUAUAUUCUGAUGCUGUUGGGUGGAAUGUUUUAUAGAUGGCUGUUAGGUCUACUUGAUUGAUAAUGCUGUUCAAGGUUUUUAUUUUCUUGUUGAUUUUCUGUCUGUUCUGCUAUUGAAAGAAGGGUAUUAAAGUAUCCAACGAUUAUUGUAGAACUGUCUGUUUCUCUUUUCUGUUGUGCCGAUUUUGCCUCAUUGUAUUUUGAAGUCCUGUUGUUAGGUGCAUAUAAGUUUAUAAUUAUUAUGCAUUCUAGAUGGAAUUAUCAUUUUAUCAUUUUAAAAUGUCUUUGUCGCUAGUAAAAAUUUUCGUCUUAAAAUGUAAUUUUUUUCUGAUA